RNAcentral lists this ribosomal RNA (253 nucleotides) under uncultured bacterium. RNAcentral describes it as "partial 16S ribosomal RNA". It matches the Rfam family "Bacterial small subunit ribosomal RNA", at positions 524 to 776 of the family's 1533-position model. The record is from RNAcentral.
UACAGAGGUCCCAAGCGUUGUUCGGAUUCACUGGGCGUAAAGGGUGCGUAGGUGGUUGGGCAAGUCUGAUGUGAAAUCUCCGGGCUUAACCCGGGAAUGGCAUUGGAUACUGCAGAUCUGGAGGAUCGGAGGGGGGACUGGAAUUCUUGGUGUAGCAGUGAAAUGCGUAGAUAUCAAGAGGAACACCAGUGGCGAAGGCGAGUCCCUGGACGAUACCUGACACUGAGGCACGAAAGCUAGGGGAGCAAACAGG